RNAcentral lists this ribosomal RNA (522 nucleotides) under uncultured archaeon. RNAcentral's name for it is "bacterial SSU rRNA". It matches the Rfam family "Archaeal small subunit ribosomal RNA", at positions 325 to 849 of the family's 1478-position model. The record is from RNAcentral.
ACGGGGCGCAGCAGGCGCGAAAACUUUACAAUGCGGGAAACCGCGAUAAGGGGACACUGAGUGCCAGCAUCAAAUGUUGGCUGUCCAGAUGAUUAAAAAUCAUUUGUUAGCAAGGGCCGGGCAAGACCGGUGCCAGCCGCCGCGGUAACACCGGCGGCCCGAGUGGUAGCCGUUUUUAUUGGGUCUAAAGGGUCCGUAGCCGGCCUGAUAAGUCCUUUGGGAAAUCUGGCAGCUUAACUGUCAGGCUUCUAAGGGAUACUGUCAGGCUUGGGACCGGAAGAGGUAAGGGGUACUCCAGGGGUAGGAGUGAAAUCUUGUAAUCCCUGGGGGACCAUCUGUGGCGAAGGCGCCUUACCAGAACGGGUCCGACGGUGAGGGACGAAAGCUAGGGGAGCAAACCGGAUUAGAUACCCGGGUAGUCCUAGCUGUAAACGAUGCUCGCUAGGUGUCAGACACGGUGCGACCGUGUUUGGUGCCGCAGGGAAGCCGUUAAGCGAGCCACCUGGAAGUACGUCGCAAGGC